GAACCGUCCAAACGUUAUUCGGAUUUAUUGGGCUUAAAGGGUAUGUAGGCGGCGCUGUCAGUCGGGUGUGAAAUCCCUCGGCUCAACCGAGGAACUGCGCCCGAUACUGCAGCGCUUGAGGGAGACAGAGGUAAGCGGAACUGAUGGUGGAGCGGUGAAAUGCGUUGAUAUCAUCAGGAACACCAGUGGCGAAAGCGGCUUACUGGGUCUCUUCUGACGCUGAGAUACGAAAGCUAGGGGAGCGAACGGGAUUAGAUACCCCGGUAGUCCUAGCUGUAAACGAUGAGCACUUGAUCGUGGGGCCCCCCAUAGCCUCUCGGUCGCAGCGAAAGCGGUAAGUGCUCCGCCUGGGGAGUAUGGUCGCAAGGCUG
Molecule: ribosomal RNA, 371 nt
Filed under: uncultured bacterium
Lineage: Bacteria
Description: bacterial SSU rRNA
Rfam family: Bacterial small subunit ribosomal RNA
Source: RNAcentral